Molecule: ribosomal RNA, 253 nt
Filed under: uncultured bacterium
Lineage: Bacteria
Description: partial 16S ribosomal RNA
Rfam family: Bacterial small subunit ribosomal RNA
Source: RNAcentral
UACGGAGGGUGCGAGCGUUGUCCGGAAUCACUGGGCGUAAAGGGCGCGUAGGUGGCGAGGUUAGUCAGGUGUGAAAUCUCGGGGCUCAACCCCGAAACUGCACUUGAUACUGCCUUGCUAGAGUACUGGAGAGGAGAUUGGAAUUUACGGUGUAGCAGUGAAAUGCGUAGAUAUCGUAAGGAAGACCAGUGGCGAAGGCGAAUCUCUGGACAGUUACUGACACUGAGGCACGAAGGCCAGGGGAGCAAACGGG